UGCAGUCGAGCGAACUGAUUAGAAGCUUGCUUCUAUGACGUUAGCGGCGGACGGGUGAGUAACACGUGGGCAACCUGCCUGUAAGACUGGGAUAACUUCGGGAAACCGAAGCUAAUACCGGAUAGGAUCUUCUCCUUCAUGGGAGAUGAUUGAAAGAUGGUUUCGGCUAUCACUUACAGAUGGGCCCGCGGUGCAUUAGCUAGUUGGUGAGGUAACGGCUCACCAAGGCAACGAUGCAUAGCCGACCUGAGAGGGUGAUCGGCCACACUGGGACUGAGACACGGCCCAGACUCCUACGGGAGGCAGCAGUAGGGAAUCUUCCGCAAUGGACGAAAGUCUGACGGAGCAACGCCGCGUGAGUGAUGAAGGCUUUCGGGUCGUAAAACUCUGUUGUUAGGGAAGAACAAGUACAAGAGUAACUGCUUGUACCUUGACGGUACCUAACCAGAAAGCCACGGCUAACUACGUGCCAGCAGCCGCGGUAAUACGUAGGUGGCAAGCGUUAUCCGGAAUUAUUGGGCGUAAAGCGCGCGCAGGCGGUUUCUUAAGUCUGAUGUGAAAGCCCACGGCUCAACCGUGGAGGGUCAUUGGAAACUGGGGAACUUGAGUGCAGAAGAGAAAAGCGGAAUUCCACGUGUAGCGG
Molecule: ribosomal RNA, 643 nt
Filed under: Priestia megaterium
Lineage: Bacteria; Bacillati; Bacillota; Bacilli; Caryophanales; Bacillaceae
Description: bacterial SSU rRNA
Rfam family: Bacterial small subunit ribosomal RNA
Source: RNAcentral